This 350-nucleotide ribosomal RNA is filed under the name uncultured bacterium. Its description in RNAcentral is "partial 16S ribosomal RNA". It matches the Rfam family "Bacterial small subunit ribosomal RNA", at positions 338 to 704 of the family's 1533-position model. The record is from RNAcentral.
CCUACGGGAGGCUGCAGUGGGGGAUAUUGCACAAUGGGGGGAACCCUGAUGCAGCGACGCCGCGUGGGUGAAGGAGUGCUUCGGCAUGUAAAGCCCUAUCGGCAGGGAAGAAGCAAGACGGUACCUGACUAAGAAGCCCCGGCUAACUACGUGCCAGCAGCCGCGGUAAUACGUAGGGGGCGAGCGUUAUCCGGAUUCACUGGGGGUAAAGGGGGCGGAGACGGCCAAGCGAGCCAGGGGUGAAAGCCCGGGGCCCAACCCCGGGACUGCCCUUGGAACUGCAUGGCUGGAGUGCGGGAGGGGCAGGCGGAAGUCCUGGUGUAGCGGUGAAAGGCGGAGAUAGCAGGAGG